UCCAUUUUGCUGUAGGUGAGUCCACAUGCCCACCCAGUUGUGUUCCAUUCUCUUGGUCUCAGUGUUGCUUUGGACAAACCCUAUCUCUUUCCCUAACCUCUAGUUUCUCCCUUAGGCCAAAAAUCUGCUGCCUUGAACCUGAGGAGUUUGUCUGCAGCCCAGACCAGUCACAGCUACAGGGAGAAGGAGAAGUGAAUGAAUCAGCAGUUUUCUUUGCAAAGCUGGGCUGAGAAUAAAAAGCAUCUGAAUAGCAGGAGCGAGGAAGAAAGGCAGAGAUUCUUUCCUAAGUUAGCCCAGCCGUUUCAUCUGGAAUGUCUAACUCACUGCAAUCAAUGGUUUGACUCUACCUGGCGCCUUCCACCCUGAAAGGCAAUUUUCCAGAUCAUACAAUACACAAGGAAGGAAAACACUUAAGAUAUCUUGAAUGAAUCCCUUUUGUCAAAUCGAUUAAACCUGGGAGAUGAAGCAGGGGGGUCUUCACACGAGUCCAGAACUCUCAUACGAUUCUGGUUUCUACUGACCCCAGUGGACACAGCGCUCAGGCUCCGCGGAUCACGUUCAUCGCAGCCGUUUGACACAAAAUCGAACCCUGAGGAAGCCGAGCAGCGCUUGACUCGCUCUGCCAGCGUCGGGCCUUCUCCUUUGAGUGCGAUGAUGCUAAAAUAAGAAUUUAUUUAAAUUCCAAAGACUUUAUUUGAAUCCUGACACAUUUAAAUUCUGAAGAAACAAGAUUCAAGGGUUAUUUGUAUUUUAUGUCAUAGAGUAAAAGCUUCAAACCCUACAAGAGGUCCUCAAUUAGAAGCUUUAACUGGUAGAUAAGUACUUCCUGGGAGGGGGGGGGGGAAUCACUAGUCAAGAUGCUGUGAUAUUUUCUCAAAGAUUUGUUUUGCCGCUCUUCCCCCUGCCAACUUACUUGGCACACAUUUCCUCCCAGGAAAUCUUUUUGCUACAAACA
Long non-coding RNA from Cavia porcellus (domestic guinea pig), 955 nucleotides. RefSeq lists it as uncharacterized. The transcript is spliced from 4 exons. The record is from RefSeq and is a predicted model, not a curated record. Lineage: Eukaryota; Metazoa; Chordata; Mammalia; Rodentia; Caviidae.